UAGAAUACCAAACGUAUGGAAUUAUGUUUCCACUGGUAUUUGUAUUGCUGCUGUUGGAUUUGGAAAUUUUGUAUUCGUUUAGUUGUGAACAUGCAAACGGAACAUGCUGCUACCAAUUUGUUUGGGACAGCGUACAAAAAAAUUGUUUACCUUGUAAACUUGGAUAUUAUGGACAGAACUGUGGCACAAAGUGCCCGAUACCACUUUAUGGAUCUUUAUGUACUUCAAGAUGUAACUGUAGUGCCAAGGACUGUGAUUAUAUCAGCGGCUGUAAACAAUCGUCAACGUUAAAACUAACGUCAAUGUCAACAGGUAAACCAUUGUCAACGUC
Long non-coding RNA from Magallana angulata, 331 nucleotides. RefSeq lists it as uncharacterized. Lineage: Eukaryota; Metazoa; Mollusca; Bivalvia; Ostreida; Ostreidae. The transcript is spliced from 3 exons. The record is from RefSeq and is a predicted model, not a curated record.